Molecule: small nuclear RNA, 164 nt
Filed under: Salmo salar (Atlantic salmon)
Lineage: Eukaryota; Metazoa; Chordata; Actinopteri; Salmoniformes; Salmonidae
Description: U1 spliceosomal RNA
Rfam family: U1 spliceosomal RNA
About the family: U1 is a small nuclear RNA (snRNA) component of the spliceosome (involved in pre-mRNA splicing). Its 5' end forms complementary base pairs with the 5' splice junction, thus defining the 5' donor site of an intron.
Source: Rfam by way of RNAcentral
AUACUUACCUGGCAAGGGAGACACCGUGAUCAAGAAGGCGGUUCACCCAGGGCGAGGCUCAGUAAUUGCACUCCGGCUGUGCUGACCCCUGUGAAUUUCCCAAAUGUGGAAAUCUCGAUUGCAUAAUUUCUGGUAGUGGGGGACUGCGUUCGCGCUCUCCCCUG